UGGGGAAUAUUGGACAAUGGGCGCAAGCCUGAUCCAGCAAUGCCGCGUGGGUGAAGAAGGUUUUCGGAUCGUAAAGCCCUUUCGACGGGGACGAUGAUGACGGUACCCGUAGAAGAAGCCCCGGCUAACUUCGUGCCAGCAGCCGCGGUAAUACGAAGGGGGCUAGCGUUGCUCGGAAUUACUGGGCGUAAAGGGCGCGUAGGCGGCCUGGUGAGUGAGGCGUGAAAUUCCCGGGCUUAACCUGGGGACUGCGCUUCAUACUGCUGGGCUUGAGGAUGGAAGAGGGUCGUGGAAUUCCCAGUGUAGAGGUGAAAUUCGUAGAUAUUGGGAAGAACACCGGUGGCGAAGGCGGCGACCUGGUCCAUUACUGACGCUGAGGCGCGACAGCGUGGGGAGCAAACAGG
RNAcentral lists this ribosomal RNA (404 nucleotides) under uncultured bacterium. Its description in RNAcentral is "bacterial SSU rRNA". It matches the Rfam family "Bacterial small subunit ribosomal RNA", at positions 355 to 776 of the family's 1533-position model. The record is from RNAcentral.